RNAcentral lists this ribosomal RNA (460 nucleotides) under uncultured bacterium. RNAcentral describes it as "partial 16S ribosomal RNA". It matches the Rfam family "Bacterial small subunit ribosomal RNA", at positions 338 to 795 of the family's 1533-position model. The record is from RNAcentral.
CCUACGGGCGGCAGCAGUGAGGAAUAUUGGUCAAUGGACGAGAGUCUGAACCAGCCAAGUAGCGUGAAGGAUGACUGCCCUAUGGGUUGUAAACUUCUUUUAUAUGGGAAUAAAAUGUUCCACGUGUGGGAUUUUGUAUGUACCAUAUGAAUAAGGAUCGGCUAACUCCGUGCCAGCAGCCGCGGUAAUACGGAGGAUCCGAGCGUUAUCCGGAUUUAUUGGGUUUAAAGGGAGCGUAGGUGGAUUGUUAAGUCAGUUGUGAAAGUUUGCGGCUCAACCGUAAAAUUGCAGUUGAAACUGGCAGUCUUGAGUACAGUAGAGGUGGGCGGAAUUCGUGGGGUAGCGGUGAAAUGCUUAGAUAGCACGAAGAACUCCGAUUGCGAAGGCAGUUCACUGGACUGCAACUGACACUGAGGCUCGAAAGUGUGGGUAUCAAACAGGAUUAGAUACCCCGGUAGUC